This 1375-nucleotide long non-coding RNA is filed under the name Manihot esculenta (cassava). RNAcentral's name for it is "long non-coding RNA (MESC_LNC004920)". Lineage: Eukaryota; Viridiplantae; Streptophyta; Magnoliopsida; Malpighiales; Euphorbiaceae. The record is from RNAcentral.
CAGUAACAGUACAAAGCUCACGGCUAAUAAAAAUAGGCUCAAAGCAAAUUGCAGAAAUAAGAGCCCAAGGCUCAAUCCAACAUCUAAGCUUAAGGCCUCUAGCCCCAACAAAUGGAGCGCACUGGAACCAUGGAGCCCCAGAAUCUUGAUUCGAAGAACCAGACCGGGUACAUCUCUUAACAGCAUUACUUCUGCCAUUAGAAGGGUUUAACCACGAAGAAAGCCAUAGCAAAGGAGAUUAGAUUUCUCUUGCAAUAUAUCUAACACAAGCCAUAGAGAAAUUUUUUGAAGCACAAAGGAGAAAAUCAGCUGAAAGCCUAGAACAUUCCAAAUCAAGGAGAAACGAUGUAUGAAGCAAAAUGACCACAUGCAUCUCUGGAGCUAGACUAUAGGUGGUGAGGGUAGUGAACUUCUAUCUCCACCAUAUCAACCACCAACACCGGGUUAAGAGAGGUUGAAGGAGGCUGCUUUAGACCAAUCCACGCUGGCGAGAGGUAAGGGAGAUGUGCUCUCAGCAACUCAUUUGCUUUUUUUAAUUUUUCGCUCUGUGAACCACUUUCUGCCGAGAAUAAACCAAGAGAAACGCAUAUGUUAGAAACUCCAAAUCUGUAAUCAAAUAAACACACAAACCAACCCUCUACAGCCAGAAUAGCCUUCUCUUGUGAGCUCAAUUGCCACCAUAAACUGGUCUUAUGGAAAUUAGAUGCAACUGGCAAGAGAGAGUGAAAAGGAAAGUUCACCCCCACAUGGGAAGGAUCCUUCAGAAUUGUUAAAGUAGUCAAGUUAGGUGUCUUCCACUUAGAAGACUUAGGUGGCAAAAGAGAACUACAUGUCUGAAAUGUACAACACCUUUUAAAAGGUAUUAUGUAUAAACUUGUAUAAAGAUUUAUACAAGAGAAACAGAAGAAUCUCCUAUAUUGUAACACCCAGUCCGACAAGGUAAUGGAAGGCGUGACCAAUAUGGUAUGCAGAUUAAACCCCUACACCUCCGACCAUAUCAAUACUCAAAACGGCCAAGCCGUCCUCACCAAUGCAUGCCCAAAGCAAUUAAAAUGCGCAAACCCCUAUUAGAGCCAUGAUUGCGUAUAACUAACAGAAAAAACAUUUGUGAUGUACAGGGUAUGGGUGAAGCGGCUCAACAUUUAUUAGCAACGUGGCUUGACACACCUGCAACGAAAUGCCACUGUUAUAUCCGAUGAGAUAACCUGUUAGAAUAUCCCGAUACGGCCAGGUAUUAAUACUCUUGACCCAUUUACGUUAAGAGACAGAUUUUUAUCAAUCACAGAUUCAAAAAACUCUCAAUCUCUUUAAGCAACUUCAACUUCCACGAAAUAGAAAAGCCAACCCUAUUAACUCUCGUUUCAAUCAAUCAGAG